AUUCAUCCCCUUUGCUCAGUACUUAGUUGUCUACUACUUGCAGGUAUUACAGCCAGUGGUCUUUUUUUCGAUAAGUCUCUCUUAGCUUCGCACAACAUUAUGAAGCAAUUAUGAAGCCCAUUCCGCCUUGAAAAUUGCUCAAGCUGUGCCAAGUUAGUUGGGAGCUGUGAUAGAUGAAUCAAGGUUAUGCCAGAGGAGUUUGAGUGGGUUAAAGUCAGGACUCUGAAUGGGCCAAUCAAAGACAUCAAUUUUCUUCAUUUGAAGCCACUCCAUGUUGCUCUGGCAGUGUGCUUUGGGUUGUUGUCCUGCUGAAAGACAAACUUCCUCCCCAGUUUAGGCUUCUGGCAGAGGGUAGCAGGUUUUUAUCCAGAAUCUUUCUGUAUUUAGCAGCAUUCAUCUUCCCAUCAAUCCUGAUCAGAUUUCCAGUUUCUGCUGCUGAAAAGUAUCCCCAUAACAUGAUGUUAGCUCCACCAUACCUUAAGAGUAGGGAUGAUGUUACCAGGCUGAUGCGCAAUAUUAGAUUUACACCAUGCGUACUGCUUAGUGUUAAGGCAAAUGCUUCCAGUUUAGUAUCAUUCAACCACAAGACGUCUUCCACAGUUUUACAAUAUCUUCCAAGUGACGCACUGCGAAGUCUUUAUGGGCAAGGACAUACUUUUUUAAGCCAGAGCAUUUUCUUUGCCACUCUUCCAUAAAUACCCUUUUUGUGCAAGGCCUUAAGAGUUAGUGGAGUCAUGGAGUUCAUCUCCAAUUGUAGCCAUUGAUUUCUGCAACUCACUGAGGUGUUUGUUGGUGUCACAGUAGCCUCUUUUAUAAGCGCCAAUCUUCUCUGGCAACUCAGCUCAGGAGGGCGGCCUGACCCAGGUGAUGUGGUUGUGGCUUCAUAUGUUUUCCACUUUUUCAGAAUGGACUGCAUUAAGCUCUGAAUAUGUUCAGUGCCUAUGAGAUGGUUUUGUACCCUUCCCCAGAUUUGUGCUGUUACGGAUUCAGCAACAAUAAAUAUAUAAGUGAGGCAGGGGUUUUUAUAACAAACAAAACACUGAAAAACAAACCCCCAAAAGUAAACAACUAACGUAACCGGAAAUCAGCUGCUGUGUGGCAGCUUAAACAGUUCUUAAAGCAAUAAAGUGAAAACAGUUCUUAAAGCGAUGUUGCAAAAACAGAUCUUCAAAGUAGUACUGCAAAAGUUCAAAAUGCUUACAGUCCAUUAAAGGAGAGACUUUUUAAGACGAUUUAAAUUCUCUUUCAUGUCGUGUUGCUGCGGUUCCCAGUCGAAGAAUUUACGAAGAUGAAAAUGAAACGGCUUAAAGGCACUGACCUUUCCUUUACAAAACUGUACCCAAUCCUUUCUGCUAUAUUUCGCAGGGAUUAACACAGGGACAGUCAACGAAUUCCUUCCGAAUGAGGAUCAAACAAGGUCGAACCUGUUUCACCGUCAAAAUCGACUUUCCUCGAUCUUUUAGCUCCCGAACUCCGAUCUUCACUCUCCACUGAUUUUUAACUGGCAGUAUUAUAAAGAAACUGCUGGCAAUGACAUUUUAAAAUUUAGGCAUUAAAUAAAACUCCAUCUUUCAAACAAACUGCAUCAUAAUAUUGGACCACGCAGUGGCAUGGAGUAAAAACGGCAAAUCUAGCCACGAACUGCCCCUCCUCACAAGGAGGGGUCCUCCUUUUAUAUCCUGUAAAAAAAACCUGUCACAUGACCUCUACUGGCAGGAAAAUGACAUCACUCCACCAUCACAAGACUAUUAACUUAAGUCCAGUAUAGCUUCAACACCACUGUCAUGUGACAAGUACAAAAUACCCAUGGGUACGUAACAGUGCUUCUCUAUGAUCCUUUCCCUGACUAAUCUUGGAUGCUUCUCUUGUCUUCAUUUUGGUUUCGUCUGUUGAAAAUCACCAAGUUGGGUGAGAGGAUAAGGAGAGAAAUAUGGCCUGGUUCAGAUUGGAUGAUUGAAGAAAGGAACAAAGUGAGUGAGCCCUGACUGAUGAGGAGAACACCAUUGCUGGCAGCUUGUAAGCAGGGUUCAACCUGCAGUCUCCAGGAUCGACUGAAGAGCCACUCUGUUGUUCACCUGUUGUGAUGAUGCAUAAAUUGGAAUGGAUCCAAGUUUUCCCUCAGGCAGGAAUUCAUAUGUUCCAUCACCAACCUCUUAAACCACUUAAUCACUGUAGAUGCAAGCGGUAUUGGAUGACAGUCAUUGAGGCAGGUUACCACAUUCUUAUUAGACCCUGGCAUAAUGAAGCCUGCAUGAAGCAGAUGGAUAUCUCAGACUGAUGAAGUGAAAGGGUAAAGAUAUCGGAGAAUUCUACAGCCUGUUGAUCAGCACAAGCCUUUAGUACUUGGCCAAAUAUCCCGCCUGGGCCGGAUGCUUUCUGCAGGUUCACCCUCCUGAAGGAUGUUCUCACGCCAGCCUCAGAAACCGAAAUCACAGGGUCAUCCGGGCUGUGGUUUUUAUUCAGCUUUUCAAAGUGUACUGUAUCACUUCGCUUUUCCAGAUUGAACACCAGAUACUGCUUCUUAGCUCUACAUCCACUACACUAUCCACAACACCACUAACCUUACCGUCAUCUGUAAGCUUAAUAACCCAACCUUCUACUUUCUCAUCCAAGUCAUUUAUAUAAUUUUAAAAAUCCACAAAGAGCAGGGGUUCCCAGAACAGAUCCCUGCAGAACUCCUCUGAUCACAGACCUCAAGCUGAAUAUGCUCCUUCUACUAUCCUCUGCUUUCUGUGGAAACCUCUCAAUGGUCUCUGCCAAUUCUGAAUCCAUGCAGCCAUGCUUCCUGAUAUUCUGAAUAAGUUUAUCAUGUGCAACGUUGUCAAAAGCCUUGCUAAAAUCCAUAUACACCACACCCACUGGCUCUACCUGGAUCAGUGGUGUUCAGGACCAGUGAUACAGAAAAGUGUAAGAGGUCCAGGUAUGAGUCCUGGAAAGCCAUCUCAUAUUGCCAUAUGAAUGGCAAUUCCAGACCAAAUCUGAAUCACAGAAGGAUGCUCGACAACUUUGGCAAAGCUUGAAUACCAUCACCUCCUACAAACAAAAACCAAGCAACAUUAAUAACAAGGUUUUGCUCCCAGAUGGGCUCAAUAUCUUUUAUAUUCCCUUUGACCAAUAGAACAUGGAGGCACCUUCAUGAACUAAUCCGUCAGUCUCGUGAGAUCUUGGAUUUGUGCCUGGGCAGGGCUGUAUGGGAGACCGGCAGUUGCCCAAGCUGCAAGCCUUCCCCUCUCCACGCCACUGAUGUUGCCCAAGGGAAGGGCACUAGGAGCCAAGCAAUUUGGCACCGGUGUCGUCGCAGAGCAAUGUGUUGUUAAGCGUCUUGCUCAGGGAUACAACACGCAGCCUCAGCUGAGGCUCGAACCAGUGACCUUCAGAUCGCUAGACUGAUGCCUUAUCCACUAGGCCACUCGCCAACACUUUCAUGAACUGAUGAUAAAGUUCAAAGGAAUUGGGCGAUUCUCAGAUUCUGUAAAUAACGGGUUAAGUGCUGACUAUGUCUGUGUAUUUUGUGAGUGACUGCAGCGUGUUUGAAUAAUGUCUCACAGCUGCAUCUUUGGAGCAAGAUAAGGGUUAAAGUUCACACAGAUCCACAUGUCUCCUGAUUUUUCACACCUUUUGGUUUUGACAAAAGGAAGUACCUGGUGGAAAUUAGGCAGGACAUUCCUUUCUUAAUUAAAGCAUAAAUCUGGUGUAUGUUCUUACCUUUGUAUUUAAGUUUCAGCUCCAACAGCUGCUUUUUUUUAAAAGGAAUAUAUGGGUCAGCACAACAUCGAAUGCUGAAGGGCCUGUACUGUGCUGUAAUAUUCUAGUGUCUAGUGUUUACUGGCCAGUUGGAGGAAUAAUGCAUGUAAUAAAGGGAUAGAGGUAUGUACGGCAGAAGGGACUCCCAAGAGUUGGGAGACACUGAAAGCAGAGUGUGAGUGGGUAGAUGGGCAACAAAAGAGAGAUCAGGAAAGGCAGUGUAAGCAGGCAAAGGCUGAUAUGGACAGACAGAAAGGAUUAGAAUGACAGCGCCGUGGGAAAACCCUGAGGCCUGAUCAGGAUCCGCAGCCCGUGUCUGGCAUACUGACUCUUUUUGAUGAUUCGGAAGAUACUGAUAGGGAGGAGGAGUGGGGAUGUUACCCUAGACUGCUACCACCUCCCUUACCCUUCUCACAACCAACCACACCACCCCCACCACCAUACCAGGCUCCUGAAGGAUCGAAUGUAGCAGAAUGAGUAAAGAUAAAUCCCAGAAAACAAACCUGGAGAGGAUCCUGGCCAGGAGAUUCUGGAGAGGGGCAGUCUAAACUUUGUGAUAAACUUGGAGGAAUCCAACUGAAUCCCCAACAGCAGUGCCCUAUUAGGCAGUUGCCCAAUCCCCGAGCAGUUGAGGGGGCAAGCAACCACCAAAAAUUGAAGUAUACGUCCCCUGGAAACCCCAGGAUUUGAUAAUGAUAAUGAAUCAGGCCCCGGACUGUAAGGAGAAACCAGCCCAAUAUGCUCAGUAUGUUCAAAGUACUAUUCUGAUGUAUAAUGCCACUUCUUAGGACCUGUUUGAACUAUGCUGCAUGAUAUUGUCACCUGAAGAGACAACAAAAUAGCAGGAUCAAUUGGGUGAGGGCGGUAACAGGGGGCUGAUCCGAAGCCACAGGGAACCAGAGCAGCAAUUUCCUAAUAACCGAGAAGCACAGACGAACCAGUUGAUCCAAUCAUUAGAAUGAGCCCGACAACAACCCGUGAACAUUUACUAAGGUGUUAGAGUGCAGACCAAAGCCAGGAGAGUCAGAGGAUGAUUAUUGGGAGCGGUUCAUUGCUUGCUAUGGGAUAUUCGCAGGGGAUUCAGCCUUUUAUCAAGGACGGGAUUCACCUUUGUUUAACUCUAUGGUCUUGCAAUAUAUUCCACCCCCCCACCCCCGGUACUGCCGACAUGAUCCGGAUGAAUAACAUGAACUGGUCCGAGAACUCCCGGCCUCAGAUGAGACGAGCGGUGGUGUACUACUGGAAUGGCCAGAAUGAGUCUAAGCCUCGACCUAGACCGCAGACUCGCAGUAUUUGUUCACUUUCACCUAUCAAGGCCAGCAAUACACCUGGACGCCGCUGCCCCAAGGGUUCAUCCUCUCCCCUACGCUGUUCUCACAGACUCUCCAGAAACAAUUACAUACCCUUGAGUUGCCACAGGGAUCAACGGUAGUACAGUACGUGGAUGAUCUACUCCUGGCUAGCAACAAGGUGCAAAACUGCGAAACCGACACUACUGUACUGCUGAAUUUCCUGCACUCUUUGGACUAUGUGGUUCUUCCACAAAAGCUUUCAUUCACAGGUACAACAGGCCUAUCGAGAGGAUGACACCCAGCCAAAGGGUGACUACCCCACCAUCAAGCCUGGAGAUUUUGAACUGAUUAAGAACUGGGAUCGUAAGAAGUUGGAACCGAGGUGGAAAGGACCGGACCAAGUGCUACUGACAACACCUACUGCAGUGAAAGUGGAAGGGCAGCUCCGGUGGAUACAUCGAACAGAUUAAACAUGUUACUGGCAGAACUAAUAAGGACUGAAAAAUGUAUUGGUUAAUGAUAAUUUUGAUGACACUAAGGGGACCUGUCCCUGUUUCAGGAGGCCCCUAGGUUAACACUUUUCUGUCCCUCUGCCAUACUUAUGCUAAGCAAGUAGAAUGGGGAGCAUAUUGGGUAUGUUUUGUAUCAUGUUGUAGAAGCGACAAUCUGUUCUGAAAAGUUAUCAUGUAAUGAUAAAAAGGAGGGAAUGAUAAAGUUUAAAGAAAUUGGGGGAUUCUCAGAUUCCUGUAAAUAAUGAGUUAAGUACCAACUAUGUCUGUGUAUUUUGUGAGUGACUGCUGUGUGUUUGAAUAAUGUCUCACAGCUGCUUCUUUGCAGCAAGAUUAGAGUUAAAGUUCACACAGAUCCACAUAAGAUGUCUCCUGAUUUUUCACACCUUUUGGUUUCGACUAAAGUCGGUAUCUGACGGAAAUUAGACAGGAGAAAUCCUUUCUUAAUUAAAGCAUAAAUCUGGUGUAUGUUCUCAUCUUUGUAAUUAAGUUUUGACUCCAACAAACCAGGUAGGCCAUUCCUUUUUAAAUUAGAGUGGCUGGAAUGUCUAUCAAACUGAUUGUUCUUUUGUACCAACAGUCCAUUGACUUGGCUGGAAUGUUUAUCAAACUGAUCUUUUGUAUCGGUGGCCUUAUAAAUUGUAACAAUUCUGGAAGUCGAGCAGUGAACUUGUUUGAACUGCCAGAGGGAUGAGAAUGCUUCUCCCCCGAUGUCAGGACCAAGUUCCCUCAUCGGCUGAGCUCAAAGAAAUAAACU
Long non-coding RNA from Hypanus sabinus (Atlantic stingray), 6302 nucleotides. RefSeq lists it as uncharacterized. The record is from RefSeq and is a predicted model, not a curated record. The transcript has 5 exons. Lineage: Eukaryota; Metazoa; Chordata; Chondrichthyes; Myliobatiformes; Dasyatidae.